RNAcentral lists this ribosomal RNA (205 nucleotides) under uncultured bacterium. RNAcentral describes it as "partial 16S ribosomal RNA". It matches the Rfam family "Bacterial small subunit ribosomal RNA", at positions 328 to 538 of the family's 1533-position model. The record is from RNAcentral.
ACGCUCGACACCUACGGGAGCAGCAGUGGGGAAUAUUGGGCAAUGGGCGCAAGCCUGACCCAGCAACGCCGCGUGAAGGAAGAAGGCCCUCGGGUUGUAAACUUCUUUUGUCAGGGACGAAGCAAGUGACGGUACCUGACGAAUAAGCCACGGCUAACUACGUGCCAGCAGCCGACGGUAAUCUGAGGCGGGCGUGGACGAAGGC